Molecule: non-coding RNA, 72 nt
Organism: Phrynosoma platyrhinos (Desert horned lizard)
Lineage: Eukaryota; Metazoa; Chordata; Lepidosauria; Squamata; Phrynosomatidae
Source: the annotation of a GenBank genome assembly
GCCAAUAUGGCGUAGUGAUUUGAGUGUUGGACUAUGGCUCUAGAGCCCAGGGUUCGAAUCUCUGCUCAGCCA